UACGGGGGGGGCAAGCGUUGUUCGGAAUUACUGGGCGUAAAGGGCUCGUAGGCGGCCAACUAAGUCGGAUGUGAAAUCCCCAGGCUCAACCUGGGAACUGCAUCCGAUACUGGAUGGCUUGAAUCCGGGAGAGGGAUGCAGAAUUCCAGGUGUAGCGGUGAAAUGCGUAGAUAUCUGGAGGAAUACCGGAGGCGAAGGCGGCAUCCUGGACCGGCAUUGACGCUGAGGAGCGAAAGCCAGGGGAGCAAACGGG
Molecule: ribosomal RNA, 253 nt
Filed under: uncultured bacterium
Lineage: Bacteria
Description: partial 16S ribosomal RNA
Rfam family: Bacterial small subunit ribosomal RNA
Source: RNAcentral